Molecule: long non-coding RNA, 413 nt
Organism: Perca fluviatilis (European perch)
Lineage: Eukaryota; Metazoa; Chordata; Actinopteri; Perciformes; Percidae
Exons: 3
Source: RefSeq, a predicted model, not a curated record
CGAGGGUGUUCCAGAGGGACGGGACAGCAGCUGCAAAGGCCCUGUUGCCCCUGGUUUGGCGCUUGGUCCGGAUGGUUUGCAGCAGCUGCACCAUCCACUGGCAGCUCUGGAAACAUGCCAGCCUCCAGCCACCGCGCUGGCGCAGCGCUGCUCCACACAGCCACCUGUGGUUGCCACCCGAUUUCACAUGCCGACACUCCAGAUUCCCGACCUACUAACAAACGGAGCAUUCCACACUGGGCUCCCACAGCACCGGAACAGCAUUGACAACCAGCCAGUAUGGCCAAAUGCAGCACUACGACUAACCGGAUGCUGCACUGAAAACGGUCAAAAAGUUGAGUGUGGAACGCUGGACACUACUCGCCCUCAACAGUCGCCAUCUUUGCUACGGAGCGGAAGCUACGGGACCACCA